This 292-nucleotide unclassified non-coding RNA is filed under the name uncultured fungus. Its description in RNAcentral is "partial contains small subunit ribosomal RNA, internal transcribed spacer 1, and 5.8S ribosomal RNA". The stretch from base 1 to 73 matches the Rfam family "Eukaryotic small subunit ribosomal RNA", at positions 1759 to 1831 of the family's 1831-position model. Lineage: Eukaryota; Fungi. The record is from RNAcentral.
GCAAACUUGGUCAUUUAGAGGAAGUAAAAGUCGUAACAAGGUCUCCGUUGGUGAACCAGCGGAGGGAUCAUUACCGAGUUUUCAACUCCCUUACCCUGUGUGAACGCUACCAGACGUUGCUUCGGCGGCGAGCCCCCGGCCACCGCGCCGGGUCCGGGCUCCCGCCGGAGGACCAACAACUCUUUGUCUUUUUUUGCGAGUCUCUGAGGCGGCCUUCGUGCCGACAAAACAAAAAUGAAUCAAAACUUUCAACAACGGAUCUCUUGGUUCUGGCAUCGAUGAAGAACGCAGC